RNAcentral lists this ribosomal RNA (1325 nucleotides) under Ditestolepis sp. isolate 675. Its description in RNAcentral is "partial large subunit ribosomal RNA". It matches the Rfam family "Eukaryotic large subunit ribosomal RNA", at positions 104 to 794 of the family's 3401-position model. The record is from RNAcentral. Lineage: Eukaryota; Metazoa; Platyhelminthes; Cestoda; Cyclophyllidea; Hymenolepididae.
AGAGCCCAGCACCGAAGCCUGCGGCAGUUUUGCUGUUAGGCAAUGUGGUGUGUGGGUCGGCUCGCGGAACCAUCACUCCACUCGAAGUCCAGCAUUGAGUAUGGCCCAUUACUGGAUUUGGCCCAGAGAGGGUGAGAGGCCCGUACGGGUGGAGGUUCAGACAUGUGCGAUGGUUCACCAGGCCGGCCUCAGAGUCGGGUUGUUUGAGAUUGCAGCCCAAAGAGGGUGGUAAACUCCAUCCAAGGCUAAAUACUGCCACGAGUCCGAUAGCGAACAAGUACCAUGAGGGAAAGUUGAAAAGUACUCUGAAGAGAGAGUAAACAGUACGUGAAGCCGCAUGCAGGUAAACGGGUGGCGUCAAGCUGCGAGCCCGGAGGAUUCAGCUGACUGGGAUGUAGUGUACGCGCGCCUGGUGCGUCGAGAGGCCGGAGUAAGAUGUGACGGUUCACUCCUCUGACGGGGGUGAAGUGCGGCUGGUGUAAGCCAGUUGUCGCUAUGCUUGCCGGGUGGGUGCCGGAGCAUGCCGUUCGUCUGUUGGGCCGCCUAGUCAGUGCAUUUUCUCUGUGGUGAACACCACGACCGGUGGAACUGCCAGUCUGCUGUAGUCAAGUCGUGCUCUCCUGAUGCUUCACUGUGUUGGGUGGGUACGAUCGCAGGCGGAGUCGGUGGACGGCGCAGUGGUGCUUCGGUACCGCCGCGUGUUAUCGUGCACUCUCCGUCGUAAGCGGUUAGUGGGGCUGACUGAGUGCUGUAACCACUUCCUCAUUAACUGGCGGACUGCAGUGGUGAAAGGGACUGUGCAGGGCACCGGAGUUAUCCACCUCAUUCAAUAUGGUACUCGGCACGCACGUUAUAGGUGCAAUGAAAUCGGGAUGCGCCGCUGUCUGCCUGGUGUUGGGCCUGACUGUCGUGUUGCCUGCGCAAAGUGGGUCCGGCAGUGGUCUCGGCGCCUGGUAGUCGCAGUGUGUUGCGUGUUUCGGGUGUCUGUGGUACCGGGGGUGAAAUAGUCAGUGGUGCUGUGGUAGACGAGCUACCCGACCCGUCUUGAAACACGGACCAAGGAGUUUAACAUGUGUGCGAGUCAAAGGGUCCUACGAAACCCCUAGGCGCAGUGAAAGUAAAGUUCAUGCUGUACUUCCGCACAUACGCAGUACAGUGUGGCGAGGUGAGAUCUCGUUGUACUCAUGACACACGCCGCAGACCUUACUGGGCUUUAACUGGGGCAACGAGCGCAUCACCGGCCCGUCCCAUGAUGUGGUCAUAGGUGUUACCCGGUGUUGUGUGUUCGCAUGCAGCAUCGGAGCCUGUGCGUCAUCGGGGCGGAG